ACAGUCAGAUUAACUUUGAAGCUGAUCUGGGAUCAGUGUUUGGGGCUGGAGGAUACAUUGGUUGUCCUGAUGUAGCCGAUGACUUGGAGCCACUUAACAGAUGCCAACAAAACCCACCACCAAAAUCAGCACCAAAUCCAGUACGACCAGUAAGACCUAUAAGGCCUCCUAGACCAUCUCUCAAGAACAAGGAGAAGGCAACUUCCCAGGGUAUUGACCUGAAGUGAUCUCUGCCUGAGGUGGUGUACACACCGUCUUCUAACAAAGGCAAUAAAAACCAGAAAAAAGAGUGGGGAAAUUAAAGGAAAUAGGGUUACAAAAUGUAAAAACUUGAAUGGAAGAAUUGUAGGAAGACGUUAUUGUGGAGCUACAUGUGUUGAUUAUUCCAGUAAAUUACUUGCCAUCUAGAAAAAUAAGUUGGUCUGUUUUAGUCGGGAGGGAAACAGAUAAAAAUUAAAAUGUAAAAACAGAUUGCAACCACGG
Long non-coding RNA from Fundulus heteroclitus (mummichog), 483 nucleotides. RefSeq lists it as uncharacterized. The record is from RefSeq and is a predicted model, not a curated record. NCBI's taxonomy places the organism in Eukaryota, Metazoa, Chordata, Actinopteri, Cyprinodontiformes, Fundulidae. The transcript has 2 exons.